ACGAACGCUGGCGGCGUGCCUCAUACAUGCAAGUUGAGCGCUGAAGGUUGGUACUUGUACCAACUGGAUGAGCAGCGAACGGGUGAGUAACGCGUGGGGAAUCUGCCUUUGAGCGGGGGACAGCAUUUGGAAACGAAUGCUAAUACCGCAUAAAAACUUUAAACACAAGUUUUAAGUUUGAAAGAUGCAAUUGCAUCACUCAAAGAUGAUCCCGCGUUGUAUUAGCUAGUUGGUGAGGUAAAGGCUCACCAAGGCGAUGAUACAUAGCCGACCUGAGAGGGUGAUCGGCCACAUUGGGACUGAGACACGGCCCAAACUCCUACGGGAGGCAGCAGUAGGGAAUCUUCGGCAAUGGACGAAAGUCUGACCGAGCAACGCCGCGUGAGUGAAGAAGGUUUUCGGAUCGUAAAACUCUGUUGGUAGAGAAGAACGUUGGUGAGAGUGGAAAGCUCAUCAAGUGACGGUAACUACCCAGAAAGGGACGGCUAACUACGUG
RNAcentral lists this ribosomal RNA (496 nucleotides) under uncultured bacterium. RNAcentral's name for it is "partial 16S ribosomal RNA". It matches the Rfam family "Bacterial small subunit ribosomal RNA", at positions 29 to 507 of the family's 1533-position model. The record is from RNAcentral.